Equus quagga is the source of this 381-nucleotide non-coding RNA. The record is from the annotation of a RefSeq genome assembly. Lineage: Eukaryota; Metazoa; Chordata; Mammalia; Perissodactyla; Equidae.
AUGAGGUUCCCUGCUCAGCUCCUGGGGCUACUAAUGCUCUGGAUCCCAGGAUCCAGUGGAGAUAUUGUGAUGACCCAGACUCCCCUCUGCUUGGCCGUCACCCUGGGAGAGCCAGUUUCCAUCUCCUGCAGGUCUAGUCAGAGCCUCCUCCGUAGUGAUGACUACACCUAUUUGGAUUGGUACCUGCAGAAGCCAGGCCAGUCUCCACGGCUGCUGAUCUAUGAGGUUUCCAAGCUGGUCUCUGGAGUCUCAGACAGGUUCAGUGGCAGUGGGUCAGGGACAGAUUUCACCCUUCAAAUCAGCAGAGUGGAGGCUGAGGAUGUAGGAGUUUAUUACUGCAUGCAAGGUUCACAAAGACCUCCCACAGUGGUACAGGCCUGA